CCUACGGGGGGCAGCAGUCGAGAAUCAUUCACAAUGGGGGAAACCCUGAUGGUGCGACGCCGCGUGGGGGAAUGAAGGUCUCCGGAUUGUAAACCCCUGUCAUGUGGGAGCAAAUUAAAAAGAUAGUACCACAAGAGGAAGAGACGGCUAACUCUGUGCCAGCAGCCGCGGUAAUACAGAGGUCGCAAGCGUUGUUCGGAAUCACUGGGCGUAAAGCGUGCGUAGGCUGUUUCGUAAGUCGGGUGUGAAAGGCGCGGGCUCAACCCGCGGACGGCACAUGAUACUGCGAGACUAGAGUGAUGGAGGGGGAACCGGAAUUCUCGGUGUAGCAGUGAAAUGCGUAGAUAUCGAGAGGAACACUCGUGGCGAAGGCGGGUUCCUGGACAUUAACUGACGCUGAGGCACGAAGGCCAGGGGAGCGAAAGGGAUUAGAUACCCCAGUAGUC
Molecule: ribosomal RNA, 446 nt
Filed under: uncultured bacterium
Lineage: Bacteria
Description: partial 16S ribosomal RNA
Rfam family: Bacterial small subunit ribosomal RNA
Source: RNAcentral